GAUGAAGAACGUAGCGAAAUGCGAUAAGUAGUGUGAAUUGCAGAAUUCAGUGAAUCAUCGAAUCUUUGAACGCACAUUGCGCCCCCUGGCAUUCCGGGGGGCAUGCCUGUCCGAGCGUCAUUUCUGCCCUCAAGCACGGCUUGUGUGUUGGGUGUGGUCCCCCCGGGGACCUGCCCGAAAGGCAGCGGCGACGUCCGCCUAGGUCCUCGAGCGUAUGGGGCUUUGUCACUCGCUCGGGAGGGGCCUGCGGGCGUUGGUCAUCCACUAUUUUUCCACGAUUGACCUCGGAUCAGGUAGGAGUUACCCGCUGAACUUAAGCAUAUCAAUAAGCGGAGGA
Molecule: unclassified non-coding RNA, 337 nt
Filed under: soil metagenome
Description: partial contains 5.8S ribosomal RNA, internal transcribed spacer 2, and large subunit ribosomal RNA
Rfam family: 5.8S ribosomal RNA (bases 1-120)
Source: RNAcentral